CCUACGGGUGGCUGCAGUGAGGAAUAUUGGUCAAUGGGCGCAAGCCUGAACCAGCCAAGUCGCGUGCAGGAUGACGGCCCUACGGGUUGUAAACUGCUUUUAUACGGGAAUAACGCGCCUUUCGUGUAGUGCUUUGCAUGUACCGCAUGAAUAAGGCCUGGCUUAUUCCGUGCCAGCAACCGCGGGAAUUCGGAAGGACCGGGCGUUAUUCGGAUUUAUUGGGGUUUAAGGGAUGGGAGGCCGCAUUGCAAGCGUGCUGUUAAAUGUCCGGGGUCAACCCGGGCCUUGCCGCGCGAACUGGCGUGCUUGAGUCGGCGGGAAGCAUGCGGAAUUCGUGGUGUAGCGGUGAAAUGCUUAGAUAGGACGAAGAACCCCGAUUGCGAAGGCAGCCUGCCGGGGUGCGACUGACGCUGAGGCACGAAGGUGCGGGUAUCGAACAGGAUUAGAUACCCGAGUAGUC
RNAcentral lists this ribosomal RNA (460 nucleotides) under uncultured bacterium. Its description in RNAcentral is "partial 16S ribosomal RNA". It matches the Rfam family "Bacterial small subunit ribosomal RNA", at positions 338 to 795 of the family's 1533-position model. The record is from RNAcentral.